UGAGGCACAGAAAGCCCAAGCUCUUGCACAAGGAUCAGAAGGGGGUAUAACCAGAAUUUGUUUCUCAGCAUCCUGACCAACAAUUAUUUUACCUACUAAACAGGGAAGCCUUUCAAAUAUAAUCCAGGGUAUCCGCUUCAUUUUACAACUAAAGAAAUGAAGGCUGGGUAAGGAUAAAGGACUCACAAAGAUCGUGUGUUUAGUUUCUGCUGGUCUAGACAUCUGGGUUCCAAAAGAAGAAUGCAUCUCCCAGGAGACAUGACAAUGAUUCCAUUCAACAGGAAGUUGAGACUGCCACCUGAACACUUUGGGCUCCUCAUGCCUCUGAAUCAACGGGCAAAGAAGAGAGUUAUAGAUCCUAACCACCCAGGAGAAAUUCGGUGGCCACUACACAAACAGACUUUUCUGACUCUGCGGCCAGGUGUUUGUAUUUAACUCCACGGUGAGGAGACUCAUCUUCUGACGGACCUAACCUAUACCAUCAAGCUCCAGCACCACAAGCAAAGACAAAAACCUUGCGGAAACUAUUUAACUAACUCCCACAAUUGCAUAAGUUCCAAGAUGUUGCUACAAAUCCAGAUAUCAUGGCCAUGUUCACAGCAAGAAUGAGAAAAAGGGGGCAGCUAUAUCUGUACUAAUUUACGAGGAAAGUCACCCCACUUCCUCCAAUAGACUUUCUUCUGAGCCUCACUAACCUCAACUGCGUCCCAAGAUCACCACUAGUUGCAAAGGCGAAUGUCAAAGCAGGAAAAAUAAUUCUCAUGUUGGGUUAUGUUAAUCAUUAUCUAUCUUCCUCCAUAAACCAAAGCAGGGUACUCUAAGCAAGGCAGAAGGAGCAAAUAGAUCCUGAGUGGGCAAAUAGUGGGAUCUGCUACACAGCAUAU
Molecule: long non-coding RNA, 884 nt
Filed under: Homo sapiens (human)
Lineage: Eukaryota; Metazoa; Chordata; Mammalia; Primates; Hominidae
Description: HSALNT0330743
Source: RNAcentral